Molecule: ribosomal RNA, 497 nt
Filed under: uncultured bacterium
Lineage: Bacteria
Description: partial 16S ribosomal RNA
Rfam family: Bacterial small subunit ribosomal RNA
Source: RNAcentral
GAUGAACGCUGGCGGCGUGCCUAAUACAUGCAAGUCGAGCGAACAGACGAGGAGCUUGCUCCUCUGACGUUAGCGGCGGACGGGUGAGUAACACGUGGAUAACCUACCUAGAAGACUGGGAUAACUUCGGGAAACCGGAACUAAUACCGGAAAAUAUAUUGAACCGCAUGGUUCAAUAAUGAAAGACGGUUUUGCUGUCACUUAUAGAUGGAUCCCCGCCGCAUUAGCUAAUUGGUAAGGUAACGGAUUACCAAGGCAACGAUUCGUAGCCGACCUGAGAGGGUGAUCGGCCACACUGGAACUGAGACACGGUCCAGACUCCUACGGGAGGCAGCAGUAGGGAAUCUUCCGCAAUGGGCGAAAGCUUGACGGAGCAACGCCGCGUGAGUGAUGAAGGUCUUCGGAUCGUAAAACUCUGUUAUUAGGGAAGAACAAAUGUGUAAGUAACUAUGCACGUCUUGACGGUACCUAAUCAGAAAGCCACGGCUAACUACGUG